This is a long non-coding RNA of Mytilus californianus (California mussel), 875 nucleotides long. RefSeq lists it as uncharacterized. NCBI's taxonomy places the organism in Eukaryota, Metazoa, Mollusca, Bivalvia, Mytilida, Mytilidae. The transcript has 6 exons. The record is from RefSeq and is a predicted model, not a curated record.
UUCGCUAGUUUCGCUAGUUGAAUCAACCAAGUGUAAAAAGAGACACAAGCCAAGAUCUAUAGAUACUUUAAAACAUUUUUGUAUUAGUUUCGUUUGUUAGCAAUCAACAUGACAGUAAAGAUUCACAUAGUAUACUGAGGAGCAUGAGGAUAUGAACCCAAGUUCCGUAAGUUAAAGACGGAGCUUGAGCGAUCAUAUCCAGGACAGGUAGCAAUUACCGGAGAAGGAACACCAACUGUAACUGGCUUUUUUGAAGUUGAGGUUGCUGGAAAGCUUAUACACAGCAAGAAGAAUGGUGAUGGUUACGUUGAUUCAGGAUCGAAGAAGGACAAAAUAAAUAAUGCAAUAAAAUCUGCUUUGAAUUAGUCCUAAUUUAGAAUCUCAUAAAACAGACAUUGUGUUUUUGUAUGAGCCUUAGAAGUACCAAUAGGACUCUGAUGAUGAAGGAACCAAACUAAAUCUGAAGAAUGUUUUGUUCUGGAGAGAUGUACAGGUGUGCCUCUUGGUGAUUUCUGAUGUUUUCAUACAACACAUGUGACAUAUCCAGGGAUGUUUCCAAAUUAUACUAUUUAUUUUAAAUAAAUGUUUGCCUAUAUAACUUUUAACUAUUUUAAUGUGUUUGUUAUUUCAUUGCAUGUGUACAUUUUCAUAUCCAAAAACAUUUUGAUUUUCUAAAUAUCUUUCCUGUUGAAAAGUUUUAAUGAGAUCUUCACAUUAAUAUUCCUUUAAAAAGUACUGUAAAUUAAUAAAUGGACGAACAAAUAGAAGGUUUUUUAAACCUUCCAGAAACCGAAACCAGUUUAGAGGCAACAAAUACGACCUGAUAUAUUCUAUAAUAUGUGAUAUCCUUUGGUGAAUAAAACAAAAACUAGUUA